GUGAAGAUCAGGUUACCCGCGACAGGACGGAAAGACCCCAUGGAGCUUUACUGCAGUUUGAUAUUGAGUGUCUGUACCACAUGUACAGGAUAGGUAGGAGUCUAAGAGAUCGGGACGCCAGUUUCGAAGGAGACGUUGUUGGGAUACUACCCUUGUGUUAUGGCCACUCUAACCCGGAUAGGUGAUCCCUAUCGGAGACAGUGUCUGACGGGCAGUUUGACCGGGG
RNAcentral lists this ribosomal RNA (226 nucleotides) under Pteridomonas danica. RNAcentral's name for it is "partial Bacterial large subunit ribosomal RNA". It matches the Rfam family "Bacterial large subunit ribosomal RNA", at positions 2053 to 2279 of the family's 2925-position model. The record is from RNAcentral. Lineage: Eukaryota; Dictyochophyceae; Pedinellales.